This 371-nucleotide ribosomal RNA is filed under the name uncultured bacterium. RNAcentral describes it as "bacterial SSU rRNA". It matches the Rfam family "Bacterial small subunit ribosomal RNA", at positions 122 to 507 of the family's 1533-position model. The record is from RNAcentral.
CAAUCUGCCCUUCACUCUGGGACAAGCCCUGGAAACGGGGUCUAAUACCGGAUGAUACUUCUCCUCGCAUGGGGGGAGGUUGAAAGCUCCGGCGGUGAAGGAUGAGCCCGCGGCCUAUCAGCUUGUUGGUGAGGUAGUGGCUCACCAAGGCGACGACGGGUAGCCGGCCUGAGAGGGCGACCGGCCACACUGGGACUGAGACACGGCCCAGACUCCUACGGGAGGCAGCAGUGGGGAAUAUUGCACAAUGGGCGAAAGCCUGAUGCAGCGACGCCGCGUGAGGGAUGACGGCCUUCGGGUUGUAAACCUCUUUCAGCAGGGAAGAAGCGAAAGUGACGGUACCUGCAGAAGAAGCGCCGGCUAACUACGUG